RNAcentral lists this ribosomal RNA (264 nucleotides) under uncultured bacterium. RNAcentral describes it as "partial 16S ribosomal RNA". It matches the Rfam family "Bacterial small subunit ribosomal RNA", at positions 92 to 353 of the family's 1533-position model. The record is from RNAcentral.
CGACCGGCGCACGGGUGAGUAACACGUAUCCAACCUGCCGUCUACUCUUGGACAGCCUUCUGAAAGGAAGAUUAAUACAAGAUGGCAUCAUGAGUCCGCAUGUUCACAUGAUUAAAGGUAUUCCGGUAGACGAUGGGGAUGCGUUCCAUUAGGUUGUUGGCGGGGUAACGGCCCACCAAGCCUUCGAUGGAUAGGGGUUCUGAGAGGAAGGUCCCCCACAUUGGAACUGAGACACGGUCCAAACUCCUACGGGGAGGCAGCAUG